GGAUUAGAUACCCUGGUAGUCCACGCCGUAAACUAUGGAUACUUGGUGUUGGAGGUAUUGACCCCUUCAGUGCCGGAGCUAACGCGUUAAGUAUCCCGCCUGGGAAGUACGGUCGCAAGAUUAAAACUCAAAGAAAUUGACGGGGGCCCGCACAAGCGGUGGAGCAUGUGGUUUAAUUCGAUGCAACGCGAAGAACCUUACCUGGAUUUGACAUGUACUGGAAGACUACCAGAGAUGGUGUCGCCUUCGGGCCGGUACACAGGUGCUGCAUGGCUGUCGUCAGCUCGUGUCG
This 292-nucleotide ribosomal RNA is filed under the name uncultured bacterium. Its description in RNAcentral is "partial 16S ribosomal RNA". It matches the Rfam family "Bacterial small subunit ribosomal RNA", at positions 775 to 1067 of the family's 1533-position model. The record is from RNAcentral.